GCAAGUCGAGGGGCAGCAUUUCCAGCUUGCUGGAAGAUGGCGACCGGCGCACGGGUGAGUAACGCGUAUGCAACCUACCUUACAUUGGGGGAUAGCCCAGAGAAAUCUGGAUUAAUACCGCAUAAUAUAUUUGAAUCGCAUGGUUUAAAUAUUAAAACUCCGGUGAUGUAAGAUGGGCAUGCGUAGCAUUGGUUAGUUGGUAAGGUAACGGCUUACCAAGACGAUGAUGGAUAGCCGGCCUGAGAGGGUGAAC
This 253-nucleotide ribosomal RNA is filed under the name uncultured bacterium. RNAcentral's name for it is "partial 16S ribosomal RNA". It matches the Rfam family "Bacterial small subunit ribosomal RNA", at positions 57 to 305 of the family's 1533-position model. The record is from RNAcentral.